RNAcentral lists this long non-coding RNA (3610 nucleotides) under Medicago truncatula (barrel medic). RNAcentral describes it as "long non-coding RNA (MTRU_LNC004715)". Lineage: Eukaryota; Viridiplantae; Streptophyta; Magnoliopsida; Fabales; Fabaceae. The record is from RNAcentral.
GCAGUCACCAAUCACCAUCAGAAACACCUUUCAUUUUCUCUUUCUUCCCUUUUUCAAAUCAUAUACACAAAAUUCACAAAGUUCAUCAUGAACAUCGUAUGAACAUGAUGAACACAGAUUUUUCCAGUAACUAAUUCCAGACUCAAAAUCAUCAAACAACAACAUUAUUUUCGUGAAUCCUACACCACCAAUUCAUUUUCUUUCGAAAUCCAUCAAACACAAAUUUGGUUCACCACAGAUCCAAAAUCGGUUCAUCUCAACACAUGUCUGAACUUCAAUAUAUCACCACAGUUAUGAAACCAAGCUUAAACAUGUACUGAAGCUGUUUCGUUCUCAACAAACUGGCAUACAACUGAAAGCAAGAUCGAAAUCCAGAGAAAGAAGGAAGAAUGUCCAUAUCGGAGCUUAUCCGAACCAGAUCGAGCUCUCUUUGUUUUGAAGUUUUCCGUUUGUGCUAGCUUUCUCCGAAUAUAAGCAAAGGUAACGGCCAUUUCCUUUCAGUUUCGUUCUUUGUGUUUCAAAAAUUUUCGAAUCUCAAAUGUUAGAUCUAGGACGAAUCGUUGUUUAUUUUUGAAAACUAAGUGCGGAAUAAGGAUGAAAAUGGAUGUCUGAAGAAGUAGAAAAUUUUUGAAACGGAGAGGUUUGGGUGGUUGCGGCGGCAGCGCCGCCACCUUGUGGUGGUCGGCCACUGCGCCAGCGUGUUAGUGGUUCGUCGAAGAAGAGAGAGUUACUUGCGGACUCUCUCUCUCUCUAAGUGAGGAUGUAGAGAGAAGGAGAAUAUUAUAUUGUGUUGUUUUUUGAGUGAAUCAUCAACUUCGUCCCUGAAUUUUCACGGGUCGGCCAACUUCGUCCCUUAAUUAUGCGAAAUAUCAAUUUAAUCCCUGAAUUUGUUAAAUGUCAAUCAAGUUAGUCCUUCAGUUCAAAUGGAGCGUUGAUGGGGCUGACGUGGCCGUUAACCUCUCAGUUCAAACGGAGCGUUGACGGGACUGACGUGGCCGUUAACCUCUCACAUAUCAGACGCCACGUAGGCAGGGACUAAUUUGGCCGAUAAUGACCUAAUUUUCAAGGACUAAGUUGAUUGAAUUUCAGGAAAUUGCUCUUCUUCCCCAAUGGCUCUCUUCCUUCUCCAAAGGCUAUUUCAUCCCCAAAUAUAUAAAAUUGGAACCCUAAUUUUACAAUGUGUAAUCUACACUCCAAAAUCUCAAAAUUUUCUUCCAAUAAUUAAGGGUCACGUUCUUCCCCAAAUCAAAAAAUUGCAAACCCUAAUUUUUUUAAUUGAAUCUGAAAACCAAAAUCUGCAAAAUUCAUUCAAGCAAAACUAUUGAAAUUGAAUCUAAAAUGAUGGGGGUGGUCAUAUGGGCAAAAAGAGCUAUCAAAGUCAAGCUUCAUCUUCAUCCUCCAUGUUUAAUGUUGAUGUGAGAGUGCUUGAAUGUUGUGUGGGUUGAUGAAGCCGAAGAACUAGGUUACUAAAAACAAUGGAAUUUGUGCUGCUCAUGGAAGAAAGACAAGAAUGAUGGAGAAGGUUUAGUCCAUGCUCAAGGCUAAGGAAAGUGGCAAUGACGAGGUUUGGAGGGCAAGGUUGAUGGACAAAGUUGAUUGUAUAGGAAGUAAGCUUAGGGUGAUUAAGUUUAUGAUAGUUAUAAUCUGCUUUUUUGAGUUUUGCGACAUGCUAAUGUAUAUUUCUAAUGUUGUGUAGAGUUGUAAUGAUUUUACCAUGAAAAGAGGUUGAAGAUGAAUGAAAUGUUGUGUAUCUGUUAUAAUUUUACCAUCAGAUUAGUCCCUGAAUUAUUUGUGUUACUAUCAAAUCGAUCCCUGAAUUAUUUUAAAAACCAUAAAAAAAAGUCACUAAAUUAUAUUAACAGAAAUCAAGUUGAUCCUUGAGGCAUAAAUUUGCAGAACAACAUAAAAAAGGCAGUAGAUACCAAUCAAAAUAGUAAUAAGUCAUAACUAAAUGAUAAAAACAUGAAAACGAAAAUCAUAAAAACGGAAAAAAUAUGGGCGAAAACGAACAGAGAAAAAGGAGAAGAUGAACGAAGUUACCUUCAAAACAGACGAAAUCUUCCUUCAAAAAUGCAAUCUUGAUUGCCGGAGAGGAUGAUGAUCUUGGAGAAGUGAAAAUGGAGGGAAGAACAGACAGGGACUUAGUUGAUGUGUUCUGUAUGAAAGGUGAGCAUGUAUGGUAAUGGCAAACAUAGGGGUAAAAAAGGAAUUGCAGAAAAAUGAAGUUAAAAAAGUAAAAAUUGAAAUUUUCGUAUUUUCCAUCAAUUUAGUCCCUGUACACGUGACUUUCUUUUUCCCACGUGUACAAGCCAACACAGCACACUAACGGACCUUUUGGACGGAGGGACGAAAUUGAUGGAUGUCAAACAAAUUCAGGGACUAUUUUGAUAUUUCGUUAAAUUGGGGGACGAGUUUGGCCGAUCCCUGAAUAUUCAGGGACGAAAUUGAUGGUUUACUCGUUGUUUUUUUUGCUGAAAUUCAAUUUAAAUGCUCUUUUUUCAUUUUAAUGCUAUGCGCGCGCCUCCCCUUGUCCUCACUAUACUCCAUCUGUUUUAAGCCAUCAGAUCUGGAUUGUUCCAAGAUCUGAUGGCUGCUGUGUGAUCCCCUGUUGAAUCCUAUACGCUUCUGUUACUGUGUUUACCGUGUUCCUUCCUUUCUAAACCUUUGGAUCUCCGAUCCAGUGGUUCAGUUUUGAUCUCGAUUUUGAGCCCAAACUAUUUUGACUAAGCCCACUGUUAUUUUAUUUCCUCUACAAUUUCACUAUUGAACCACACUGUUUCAUUACUGCACCCUCUGUUUCUUUUAAAAAAAAAAUUCUUGCAUAUCUUGUUUUUCCUUGCCUUUGUAAUUGAUUUUAAAACCUUUUUAUGUAGAGAUAUCAUCCUAUUAGUGUUCCAUCCAUUUUAUUUUUUAUAUAAGUGUGUCAAUUAUCAUGCUUGGUUUAUUAUUUAGUUUAGUCUAGUUUAUGGGUUUAAUCUCUAUCUUAUGCAUUCCUCUUAAAAAAUCAUUUCAUGCAUUUUAUUGAUUUGCAUUUUUAUUGUGUCAUACCUUUGCGGUCUAAUUUGUUAUCUUUAUUUUUUGUCUUUUUUUUUAAGAUAUUAGUGUGUAUAUAGGAAUUGAUUUAAUUUGUUUUGUGCGUUUUAUUUCUUACCAUUAUAUUUCUCUUGAGACCAUAGAAUGUAUUUAGGAGGUUAUGUAAUAAUGUAGUAACACAUGCACCGACACUAUCCCACUUUAUUUACCUCUUUACGCUUAUUUUAUUUUACGUCGUUACGCUAGUUUAGAAAAAUCUUUUUUAUCUCAAAAAAAUCAAAUAUGUCAAACUCCAAAAAUAUUUUCUUAUUAAACCUUGGAUUUUAACCCAAGUGUUUUUUCCUUUUAUUUUCUUAAUCAAAUGUUUAAUCAAUUUAAUAUCCAUAUUAGGCUUGGAUUUCUUGCAAUUAAAAUUAACCAACUUCAUCUUAUUUUUCUCUCAUGCCUUGAGGCCUCUUAUCUCUUCUUAAAACCUUUUUUUCAAAAAUGUUAAAAUCAAUCUAACCCACCAAAUAAUUUUUGAGAGAGAACUACAAUGAUUUUGAUUCCAUUUGUGGAUAUGUAGGCAAAGGAUUUC